GUGCUGGCUAUGGCAGUACAUGUACUAAAAUUGGAAUGAUACAGAAGAUUAGCAUGGCCCCGGUGCAAGGAUGAUACACAAAUUCAUGAAAUGUUCCAUAUUUUU
Molecule: small nuclear RNA, 105 nt
Filed under: Castor canadensis (American beaver)
Lineage: Eukaryota; Metazoa; Chordata; Mammalia; Rodentia; Castoridae
Source: RNAcentral